GACGAAGAACGUAGCGAAAUGCGAUAAGUAAUGUGAAUUGCAGAAUUCAGUGAAUCAUCGAAUCUUUGAACGCACCUUGCACCCUUUGGUAUUCCGAAGGGUAUGCUCGUUUGAGUGUCAUUGUACUCUCACACUUCCGAUCGUUUGGAUCGGGAGCGGUGGACUUGGGUGUUGCUGCUUUACUGUGGCUCACCUUAAAUGCAUUAGUGCACCUUUCGGUUGGACAUAGUACGGCGUGAUAAGUGUCUUCGCCGGCACCUCACAGAGGGUGGCUGAUCGGGAGCUCUGUGCUUCAAACCGUCCUCGGACAACAGCUGACGACUUGACCUCAAAUCGAGUAGGACUACCCGCUGAACUUAAGCAUAUCAAUAAGCGGAGGA
RNAcentral lists this unclassified non-coding RNA (380 nucleotides) under soil metagenome. RNAcentral's name for it is "partial contains 5.8S ribosomal RNA, internal transcribed spacer 2, and large subunit ribosomal RNA". The stretch from base 1 to 120 matches the Rfam family "5.8S ribosomal RNA", at positions 35 to 154 of the family's 154-position model. The record is from RNAcentral.